CUCCUACGGGAGGCAGCAGUGGGGAAUAUUGGACAAUGGGGGCAACCCUGAUCCAGCCAUGCCGCGUGUGUGAAGAAGGCCUUUUGGUUGUAAAGCACUUUAAGCAGUGAAGAAGACCUAACGGUUAAUACCCGUUAGCGAUGACAUUAGCUGCAGAAUGAGCACCGGCUAACUCUGUGCCAGCAGCCGCGGUAAUACAGAGGGUGCAAGCGUUAAUCGGAAUUACUGGGCGUAAAGCGAGCGUAGGUGGCUUGAUAAGUCAGAUGUGAAAUCCCCGGGCUUAACCUGGGAACUGCAUCUGAUAC
This 305-nucleotide ribosomal RNA is filed under the name uncultured bacterium. RNAcentral describes it as "bacterial SSU rRNA". It matches the Rfam family "Bacterial small subunit ribosomal RNA", at positions 336 to 633 of the family's 1533-position model. The record is from RNAcentral.